This 1372-nucleotide ribosomal RNA is filed under the name uncultured bacterium. RNAcentral's name for it is "bacterial SSU rRNA". It matches the Rfam family "Bacterial small subunit ribosomal RNA", at positions 28 to 1381 of the family's 1533-position model. The record is from RNAcentral.
GAUGAACGCUGGCGGCGUGCCUAAUACAUGCAAGUCGAGCGAACGGACGAGAAGCUUGCUUCUCUGAUGUUAGCGGCGGACGGGUGAGUAACACGUGGAUAACCUACCUAUAAGACUGGGAUAACUUCGGGAAACCGGAGCUAAUACCGGAUAAUAUUUUGAACCGCAUGGUUCAAAAGUGAAAGACGGUCUUGCUGUCACUUAUAGAUGGAUCCGCGCUGCAUUAGCUAGUUGGUAAGGUAACGGCUUACCAAGGCAACGAUGCAUAGCCGACCUGAGAGGGUGAUCGGCCACACUGGAACUGAGACACGGUCCAGACUCCUACGGGAGGCAGCAGUAGGGAAUCUUCCGCAAUGGGCGAAAGCCUGACGGAGCAACGCCGCGUGAGUGAUGAAGGUCUUCGGAUCGUAAAACUCUGUUAUUAGGGAAGAACAUAUGUGUAAGUAACUGUGCACAUCUUGACGGUACCUAAUCAGAAAGCCACGGCUAAUUACGUGCCAGCAGCCGCGGUAAUACGUAGGUGGCAAGCGUUAUCCGGAAUUAUUGGGCGUAAAGCGCGCGUAGGCGGUUUUUUAAGUCUGAUGUGAAAGCCCACGGCUCAACCGUGGAGGGUCAUUGGAAACUGGAAAACUUGAGUGCAGAAGAGGAAAGUGGAAUUCCAUGUGUAGCGGUGAAAUGCGCAGAGAUAUGGAGGAACACCAGUGGCGAAGGCGACUUUCUGGUCUGUAACUGACGCUGAUGUGCGAAAGCGUGGGGAUCAAACAGGAUUAGAUACCCUGGUAGUCCACGCCGUAAACGAUGAGUGCUAAGUGUUAGGGGGUUUCCGCCCCUUAGCGCUGCAGCUAACGCAUUAAGCACUCCGCCUGGGGAGUACGACCGCAAGGUUGAAACUCAAAGGAAUUGACGGGGACCCGCACAAGCGGUGGAGCAUGUGGUUUAAUUCGAAGCAACGCGAAGAACCUUACCAAAUCUUGACAUCCUUUGACAACUCUAGAGAUAGAGCCUUCCCCUUCGGGGGACAAAGUGACAGGUGGUGCAUGGUUGUCGUCAGCUCGUGUCGUGAGAUGUUGGGUUAAGUCCCGCAACGAGCGCAACCCUUAAGCUUAGUUGCCAUCAUUAAGUUGGGCACUCUAAGUUGACUGCCGGUGACAAACCGGAGGAAGGUGGGGAUGACGUCAAAUCAUCAUGCCCCUUAUGAUUUGGGCUACACACGUGCUACAAUGGACAAUACAAAGGGCAGCGAAACCGCGAGGUCAAGCAAAUCCCAUAAAGUUGUUCUCAGUUCGGAUUGUAGUCUGCAACUCGACUACAUGAAGCUGGAAUCGCUAGUAAUCGUAGAUCAGCAUGCUACGGUGAAUACGUUCCCGGGUCU